GAGUAAUGUCUGGGAAACUGCCUGAUGGAGGGGGAUAACUACUGGAAACGGUGGCUAAUACCGCAUAACGUCGCAAGACCAAAGAGGGGGACCUUCGGGCCUCUUGCCAUCAGAUGUGCCCAGAUGGGAUUAGCUUGUUGGUGAGGUAACGGCUCACCAAGGCGACGAUCCCUAGCUGGUCUGAGAGGAUGACCAGCCACACUGGAACUGAGACACGGUCCAGACUCCUACGGGAGGCAGCAGUGGGGAAUAUUGCACAAUGGGCGCAAGCCUGAUGCAGCCAUGCCGCGUGUAUGAAGAAGGCCUUCGGGUUGUAAAGUACUUUCAGCGGGGAGGAAGGUGUUGUGGUUAAUAACC
This 357-nucleotide ribosomal RNA is filed under the name Salmonella enterica subsp. enterica serovar Weltevreden. Its description in RNAcentral is "bacterial SSU rRNA". It matches the Rfam family "Bacterial small subunit ribosomal RNA", at positions 108 to 468 of the family's 1533-position model. The record is from RNAcentral. Lineage: Bacteria; Pseudomonadati; Pseudomonadota; Gammaproteobacteria; Enterobacterales; Enterobacteriaceae. RNAcentral also lists the same sequence under 7 other names.